This 86-nucleotide non-coding RNA is filed under the name Bacillus sp. CECT 9360. RNAcentral's name for it is "c-di-GMP-I". It matches the Rfam family "c-di-GMP-I riboswitch aptamer". From Rfam's summary of the family: GEMM was predicted in a large-scale screen for bacterial structured RNA regulatory elements. Genes associated with GEMM are involved in a diverse array of functions, including chemotaxis regulation, signal transduction, secretion and chitin. Lineage: Bacteria; Bacillati; Bacillota; Bacilli; Caryophanales; Bacillaceae. The record is from RNAcentral.
CGUACGAAAUGGCAAAGUUAUCGAAAGAUAAUGGCGCAAAGCUAAAGGGGCUAAAGCAAUAUUUGCAAAGCCAGCCAGCUAUCGAA